RNAcentral lists this ribosomal RNA (255 nucleotides) under uncultured bacterium. RNAcentral describes it as "partial 16S ribosomal RNA". It matches the Rfam family "Bacterial small subunit ribosomal RNA", at positions 526 to 779 of the family's 1533-position model. The record is from RNAcentral.
CGGAGGAUCCAAGCGUUAUCCGGAAUCAUUGGGUUUAAAGGGUCCGUAGGCGGUCUUAUAAGUCAGUGGUGAAAGCCCAUCGCUCAACGAUGGAACUGCCAUUGAUACUGUAAGACUUGAAUACUUGUGAAGUAACUAGAAUAUGUAGUGUAGCGGUGAAAUGCUUAGAUAUUACAUGGAAUACCAAUUGCGAAGGCAGGUUACUAACAAGUUAUUGACGCUGAUGGACGAAAGCGUGGGGGAGCGAACAGGAUU